CCACCACACUCGGAGUCUCCGUUUCGGCCUCUGCAGGGUCUCAGCUGCUAAAGAAUCUUUAACCUUAAGGGGGCCUCAGGGAGAGACGAAUUG
Molecule: microRNA precursor, 93 nt
Filed under: Otolemur garnettii (small-eared galago)
Lineage: Eukaryota; Metazoa; Chordata; Mammalia; Primates; Galagidae
Description: miRNA (ENSOGAG00000025530.1)
Source: RNAcentral